Molecule: ribosomal RNA, 501 nt
Filed under: uncultured bacterium
Lineage: Bacteria
Description: partial 16S ribosomal RNA
Rfam family: Bacterial small subunit ribosomal RNA
Source: RNAcentral
AUUGAACGCUGGCGGCAGGCUUAACACAUGCAAGUCGAGCGGAGCGAAAGUGCUUGCACCUUAGCUUAGCGGCGGACGGGUGAGUAAUGCUUAGGAAUCUGCCUAUUAGUGGGGGACAACGUUUCGAAAGGAACGCUAAUACCGCAUACGUCCUACGGGAGAAAGCAGGGGAUCUUCGGACCUUGUGCUAAUAGAUGAGCCUAAGUCGGAUUAGCUAGUUGGUGGGGUAAAGGCCUACCAAGGCGACGAUCUGUAGCGGGUCUGAGAGGAUGAUCCGCCACACUGGGACUGAGACACGGCCCAGACUCCUACGGGAGGCGGCAGUGGGGAAUAUUGGACAAUGGGCGAAAGCCUGAUCCAGCCAUGCCGCGUGUGUGAAGAAGGCCUUUUGGUUGUAAAGCACUUUAAGCGAGGAGGAGGAGCUUCAGGUUAAUACCCUGGAUGCUUGGACGUUACUCGCAGAAUAAGCACCGGCUAACUCUGUGCCAGCCGCCGCAGUAA